CAUAAACAUACUAGCUGCAUCAUCCUCAUGAACACACGCAAUCAACCAGGUCGUGCUCAUCAGCAGCUUGAUGUUGGAACCGCAAGGGAUUCGGCUUACAGCCUCACCAACCAAUUCGAAUUUUGUGAGACGGUGACGCAGUGUGGAGCAGAAAACAAGGUGUGCUACUGCUGCUGGAAGCAAGAUCCAAAACCAGUGUGUUAUGACCAUUGGGAUGAGUGCUCCGAAAAGUGCCCUCGUGGUCGUUGACAGUCUUUACCGUCUGGUCUUAGGACUGUUAGUACCGAUCUAAAUAAUGUACUGGACAUGAUUGAUGAUAAUAAUAGAGAGUUCUAUGUACUGCAUCAUCAUUUAUCCUGGUUUCAUUUAUAUGCAUGUCGUUU
RNAcentral lists this long non-coding RNA (383 nucleotides) under Setaria italica (foxtail millet). RNAcentral's name for it is "long non-coding RNA (SITA_LNC002685)". Lineage: Eukaryota; Viridiplantae; Streptophyta; Magnoliopsida; Poales; Poaceae. The record is from RNAcentral.